This 254-nucleotide ribosomal RNA is filed under the name uncultured bacterium. RNAcentral's name for it is "partial 16S ribosomal RNA". It matches the Rfam family "Bacterial small subunit ribosomal RNA", at positions 524 to 776 of the family's 1533-position model. The record is from RNAcentral.
UACGAAGGGGGCUAGCGUUGCUCGGAAUCACUGGGCGUAAAGGGUGCGUAGGCGGGUCUUUUAAGUCAGGGGUGAAAUCCUGGAGCUCAACUCCAGAACUGCCUUUGAUACUGAGGAUCUUGAGUUCGGGAGAGGUGAGUGGAACUGCGAGUGUAGAGGUGAAAUUCGUAGAUAUUCGCAAGAACACCAGUGGCGAAGGCGGCUCACUGGCCCGAUACUGACGCUGAGGCACGAAAGCGUGGGGAGCAAACAGA